RNAcentral lists this ribosomal RNA (2142 nucleotides) under Naranjakotta sp. F STC-2019. Its description in RNAcentral is "partial large subunit ribosomal RNA". It matches the Rfam family "Eukaryotic large subunit ribosomal RNA", at positions 40 to 1894 of the family's 3401-position model. Lineage: Eukaryota; Metazoa; Arthropoda; Insecta; Hemiptera; Miridae. The record is from RNAcentral.
AUAUUAGUAAGCGGAGGAAAAGAAACUAACCAGGAUUCCCUUAGUAGCUGCGAGCGAACAGGGAAGAGCCCAGCACUGAAUCCCCGAGGCCUAGCUUCGAGGGAAAUGUGGUGUUUGGGAGGGUUCAUAUACCUGAUACUGCUGCACCGCGUCCAAGUCCAUCUUGAAUGAGGCCACGGUCCCGAGAGGGUGCCAGGCCCGUAGCUGGCCGGUGCUGGUGUUGGGUGAACCUCUCCUUAGAGUCAGGUUGCUUGAGAGUGCAGCCCUAAGUGGGUGGUAAACUCCAUCUAAGGCUAAAUACAACCACGAGACCGAUAGCGAACAAGUACCGUGAGGGAAAGUUGAAAAGAACUUUGAAGAGAGAGUUCAAGAGUACGUGAAACCGCUCAGGGGUAAACGGAAAAGACCCGAAAUUUCCGAAAGGGGAGAUUCACGUCUUCUCGCUGGCUCGACUCCUCGUCCAUUGUCGACGGUUCUAUGCCUCAUUCGAACUUGUUCGGAGCGAGUGGUGGAGCCGCCGUGGUCGAGGAUGUAGGGUCGCGGCAGACCGCACUUCUCCCCUAGUAGGACGUCGUGACCCGUCCGAUCAUGGUCUAAGAGUGUGUAUGGAAGCCUGUUCGUGUUGUUUCGGCAAUUUACGAGCAGACCUUCGCAUGUCUGGCCAUGAAUGCUUCGGUCGGUAUCAAAAGACAGUGUUGGACCGCUCUGCGGAGGGAGAAAUCCUUCUUCGAGAGCGCGAUUGGUCCUUGGCAAGGUAGUGAGUCGCGUUAGUCAAGACGGGCCUACGUCCGUCUGACUGCUCUCGCUCCUGUUGGUCGAGGUACUCUAUCGCCGGUCAAUUUCUAUGGCACUAGUCUACGGCGAAUCAGUUUUGGGCUCUUGUCCGACCCGUCUUGAAACACGGACCAAGGAGUUUAGCGUGUGUGCGAGUCAUUGAGUGAAAAAACUCAAAGGCGAAAUGAAAGUGAAGGGAACUUUACGUUUCUGAGGGAAGAUGAGACGGUUUCUUUUCCAAGAGCCUCUCCGCACUCCCGGGGCGUCUCUAUCUCAUUGCGAGAGGAGGCGCACCUAUAGCAUACACGCUGAUACCCGAAAGAUGGUGAACUAUGCCUGGCCAGGACGAAGCCAGGGGAAACCCUGGUGGAGGUCCGCAGCGAUUCUGACGUGCAAAUCGAUCGUCGGAGCUGGGUUUAGGGGCGAAAGACCAAUCGAACCAUCUAGUAUAGAUGAGAACCCUGGCUUUUCUUAAACUAUGAAGCCAAGGGGUUUCGGAUCAGAGUGCCAAGUGGGCCAAUUUUGGUAAGCAGAACUGGCGCUGUGGGAUGAACCAAACGCGGAGUUAAGGCGCCUCAAUCGACGCUCAUGUGAGACCAUGAAAGGCGUUGGUUGCUUAAGACAGCAGGACGGUGGCCAUGGAAGUCGGAAUCCGCUAAGGAGUGUGUAACAACUCACCUGCCGAAGCAACUAGCCCUGAAAAUGGAUGGCGCUGUAGCGUCGUGCCUAUACUCCGCCGUCAACGGCAACGCAGGCAGUCCUCUCACGGGGACGGCGCUGUUAAGCCUUGACGAGUAAGAGGGCCGCGGCGAUGUGCGCAGAAGGGUUUUGGGCGUGAGCCUGCCUGGAGCCGUCGUCGGUGCAGAUCUUGGUGGUAGUAGCAAAUACUCCAGCGAGGCCCUGGAGGACUGAUGUGGAGAAGGGUUUCAUGUGAACAGCUGUUGCACAUGAGUCAGUCGAUCCUAAGCCCUAGGAGAAAUCCGAAGCGAUGGGUUGCCGUUAAACGUUAACAAGCUUGAUGUUGGCACCAUUUGGGCGAAAGGGAAUCUGGUUCCUAUUCCAGAACCUGGCAGUGGAACCGUUCCAAAUCGGGCCCUCAUUGAGGACUCGUCAGGGCAACCUGAAAGGACCCGGAGACGCCGUCGGGAGAUUCAGGGAGAGUUGUCUCUUCUCUAUAAGCGAUCGAGUUCCCUGGAAACCUCUAGCAGGGAGAUAGGGUUUGGAUCGCGAAGAGCACCGCAGUUACGGCGGUGUCUGAAUCUUCCCCACGGACCUUGAAAAUCCGGGAGAGGGCCACGAGGAACCCCACGCCAGAUCGUACCCAUAUCCGCAGCAGGUCUCCAAGGUGAAAAGCCUCUAGUCGAUAGA